Chelonia mydas (Green sea turtle) is the source of this 2021-nucleotide long non-coding RNA. RefSeq lists it as uncharacterized. The transcript has 3 exons. Lineage: Eukaryota; Metazoa; Chordata; Testudines; Cheloniidae. The record is from RefSeq and is a predicted model, not a curated record.
GGGGUUGCUGGGAAAUGGGUUACACUGACUACUUGGGAGAAGAGAGGAGUGUUUAGAGCUACAGAGAUCAUUGCUCUGUGGGAGGAGGGAGUGGUGAUGCUAAUGACCCCAGAGGUGGGAGAGUGCCUGAUGGUGACCAAUCACAGGACACAGAGAAUUACUGAUCGCAAAUACUCCAAGUUGCGGUGCUGCUUGCUCAUUUCUGUAGAGAGCAGAAGUGGAGGAGAAGGCUGCAGCUUUGAAACCCAUAUCCUGUGGAAAUGCCAUUGCAAUUUCCAGUGCUAUACAGAACCUAUUUAUUCUUCCUAGUACUUAACUUCAAGGGAUUUUCAGGGCUUGUUUAAUUUAUUUUCUUUAACUGUGGUGGGACCUUACCCUUAUCACCUGCAAGGCUAGUGAAUGCCCCCAGUUAGUCAUGCCCUACACUUAGGGAGGUGAGUAGCUAAUUGGCUCCCAGCCAGAGGGGGCAGAGCUAAGUAUAAUAAAUAGACUGAAGAGCCCCAGUUGAGGGGGAGAUUGCAGAGGAGGCAGGUCUCUCUGUCAGAGGAAAAGCCCAGGUGGAUAAAGGGGGGAAGUGCACUACAAGGCAAGGUAGGCUCCUACAGAGGAAGCCCUGAGAUAGGGUUUUGCAAGUUGAAAGAGAAGAGUUCAGUAGCCCAAGGGGACAGAAGAGUUAUUCAGAUUUAUAUGGACUUGUUCAUGAUACCUGGGAAGGGGUUUGAACUUUGUGACUUUGCUGCUGGCUUCAGACCUCCGGCUAACAGCUAGCAGGAGACACUGAAGCCAAAGAUACCAGUGACAUUGCACCCAGGCGCAAAGGGGCACUUCCAGGAUAAGGGUGCCACACCACAGUAGUAGUAAUCACAAAAUGAUCUUUGUAAACAGGUAAAUUAAAGCUAAUGGAGAAUUUUACACAGAGGGUUAUGGUAUGUGUGUGAAGAGUGGUGGUGAUACUAUUAAUUAUAAUGAUCAGCUGGAACCAAGUCUAGACAUCAGUGAUAAGUUUGGGUUUUAUUAUGUACUGUACAGACAGUGGUAAGGGUUAACCUGUACGUAGCAAGCUGGACACAAGACCAUGUGUAUUCUACAUGACAAGGUGAAGCUACCUCUUGCAAGGAGGCCCCCGGCUUCUAUGUCAUAUUGGUGUUGAAUUUAGGCAGUGCCUUCAAAUAAACUUUGAAAAAGUGUUUCUAGUGAAUUAAAUGUGAAGCUGAAUAAUAAGUACAGUAUUCCUGUGUUUUGCAUUGGUAUUAGAUUCACUUUAUUUUGUGUAGCUCCCAAACUUUCAAUGUACCAGAUUUCUUUCUACUGGAAACUACUUCUACAAUGGAAUGAGAGAUCUGGGGGAUUUUGGCAACUGUGGAAGCAUGAGAGACAUCUUGAGGUUCUCCUCCCCCACCCCCACACUCUAAGGCUUUUAGCACUGGGCAGGGAUAUAACUCUACUCUUCAUCCCCCUUGUCAGUAGGUGCAGAGAUUUCAAGCCACCUAAAAUGUCAAAACAUGAGCACUAUAAGACACCAAGCACCUGCCCCGGUGCUCAGUAUCUAUCACAGCACAAUGCCAUCAUUAGGCCUCAGAGUUAACACACUGAGAUUAACAGGAACAGUUAAUAUCUCUUAGAGCUGUUUCUUAGUCUAUGAAAUACUGGAGAAUGAUGGGGAAGCUAUUAAUUCAGGAAUACCCACUUCCUGGCUCCAGCUAGGCUGGUAAGGUUUAUUCUUCCCAGACCAAAACCUAGGAGGAAAAGGGAUAACCUACAGAUUUUGGCUUAGGGAAGAAGAGGGGUUGAGUGGGUUGCUAGCAGUUGCCCAGAUAGCUGAAGAGAGACAGACAAACAGUAGCAAGCAGACUGUCUGUCCCAACCCAGAGUUGAAGAUCGUGGGCUGAGGGGAAUGUACAAAAGCUUUCAAGGAAAGAUUAUGUUGUAGAUAACACCUUUUGGGUAUAGGCCUUUAUCUGUUUUAUCCCUUUGCUCUGCUUGAUAUGUAUCUUUGUGUGAAUAAAUAAUACUUUGUUUUG